Molecule: long non-coding RNA, 357 nt
Organism: Zingiber officinale
Lineage: Eukaryota; Viridiplantae; Streptophyta; Magnoliopsida; Zingiberales; Zingiberaceae
Exons: 3
Source: RefSeq, a predicted model, not a curated record
AGAGGAAUGAGGGCUUUAAAGGGAGAAGGUGGUGUGUGAUGCACUGCAGGAGCAUAUUGAGGAACUGAGGCAUCGAUGCCUAACAGUGGGAUGAGUGGGAUGGUGGCCUUGUAUUCUUGGCGUAAGGAAUCUUGCUUUCCGAAAUGGAAAAUUGAUAUCUUUCACCUUGCAACAAAGAGGUGCGGAGAAUUCAUACUUCGACAAAAAGUGGAGCUGCAGCAGAGAUGGAAUCAAAUAGGACUAAAGGACUCUUGCAUUAGUGGAACUUCAUGGGCCCUUACUGAUCACCGCUAGCCAUCUGUCCUGCAAAAUGCUCGUUGCUAAGUUAUUUGCACCGGUCCCUUCCUACAUUCUGGC